GGCAAGGUGACUUGUUGCAUUUUGUGCCAGAUACUGCGCUGCAUACAUAUUUGUUUGUGUAGCUAUCUGCCCUAAAAAAUCAUCCCCAAGGAACAGCUCCAUAAAAUCCGGGGAGUUAUAGCUGGUCACGUCUCCCUGAAUACCAGGAGUCGCAGAGAACAGAGGGAUGUCGGGGACAAAAUUGUUAGGGGGCACCCAGAUAUCAGCGCCAGGAGCAGUGCCAGGGGUAUCGUCACUUUCUUCAUCUGUGUCUGGCACAUAGUCACCCUCUGCACUCUCUGAGGCAG
Molecule: non-coding RNA, 287 nt
Organism: Pelobates cultripes (western spadefoot toad)
Lineage: Eukaryota; Metazoa; Chordata; Amphibia; Anura; Pelobatidae
Source: the annotation of a GenBank genome assembly